RNAcentral lists this transfer RNA (70 nucleotides) under Rattus norvegicus (Norway rat). It matches the Rfam family "tRNA". From Rfam's summary of the family: Transfer RNA (tRNA) molecules are approximately 80 nucleotides in length. Lineage: Eukaryota; Metazoa; Chordata; Mammalia; Rodentia; Muridae. The record is from Rfam by way of RNAcentral.
GGGGAUUUAGCUCAGUGGUUAGAGCGCUUGCCUAGUAAGCGCAAGGCCCUGGGUUCGGUCCCCAGCUCCG